UACAGAGGGUGCGAGCGUUGUCCGGAAUCACUGGGCGUAAAGGGCGCGUAGGCGGCUGAUUUAGUCGAGGGUGAAAGCCCGUGGCUCAACCACGGAAUGGCCUUCGAUACUGGUUGGCUUGAGACCGGAAGAGGACAGCGGAACUGCGAGUGUAGAGGUGAAAUUCGUAGAUAUUCGCAAGAACACCAGUGGCGAAGGCGGCUCACUGGCCCGAGUACUGACGCUGAGGCACGAAAGCGUGGGGAGCAAACAGG
This 254-nucleotide ribosomal RNA is filed under the name uncultured bacterium. RNAcentral's name for it is "partial 16S ribosomal RNA". It matches the Rfam family "Bacterial small subunit ribosomal RNA", at positions 524 to 776 of the family's 1533-position model. The record is from RNAcentral.